Molecule: transfer RNA, 76 nt
Filed under: Candidatus Omnitrophota bacterium
Lineage: Bacteria; Pseudomonadati; Candidatus Omnitrophota
Description: tRNA-Lys
Rfam family: tRNA
About the family: Transfer RNA (tRNA) molecules are approximately 80 nucleotides in length. Their secondary structure includes four short double-helical elements and three loops (D, anti-codon, and T loops).
Source: RNAcentral
GGGCCGCUAGCUCAAUUGGUAGAGCAGGACCCUCUUAAGGUCAAGGUUCUUGGUUCGAUUCCAAGGCGGCUCACCA